This 468-nucleotide ribosomal RNA is filed under the name uncultured bacterium. Its description in RNAcentral is "partial 16S ribosomal RNA". It matches the Rfam family "Bacterial small subunit ribosomal RNA", at positions 28 to 507 of the family's 1533-position model. The record is from RNAcentral.
GACGAACGCUGGCGGCGUGCUUAACACAUGCAAGUCGAACGGAAAGGCCCUGCUUUUGUGGGGUGCUCGAGUGGCGAACGGAUGAGUAACACGUGAGUAACCUGCCCUUGACUUUGGGAUAACUUCAGGAAACUGGGGCGAAUACCGGAUAGGAGCUCCUGCUGCAUGGUGGGGGUGGGAAAGUUUCGGCGGUUGGGGAUGGACUCGCGGCUUAUCAGCUUGUUGGUGGGGUAGUGGCUUACCAAGGCUUUGACGGGUAGCCGGCCUGAGAGGGUGACCGGCCACAUUGGGACUGAGAUACGGCCCAGACUCCUACGGGAGGCAGCAGUGGGGAAUAUUGCACAAUGGGCGGAAGCCGUAUGCAGCAACGCCGCGUGCGGGAUGACGGCCUUCGGGUUGUAAACCGCUUUCGCCUGUGACGAAGCGUGAGUGACGGUAAUGGGUAAAGAAGCACCGGCUAACUACGUG